AGAAGUGUCUCAGGGUUUGGGUAGGCCAACAGGAUAAAUCUUGCAGGAUACCCAAAUGAUAUCAAACAGGGUUCAUUUAAGGGAAGGGAAGGAAGGGAAGGGAAUUGGGAUGAUCUAACUAAAGACUAUAAAUGAACCACCCACCAAAUCCAGUUCUUAUCUUCUUAAAGUUGCCAUCUGCACUAUCAAUAACCUCUCUACCUAAAAGUCCCAGUUCCUACAAUACAUAAAACUCACUAACCAAAUUUCCCCUCAUCAGCUGGUGAAUAGAGUUGGAAAGGUUGGAGGGUAAAAAGGAACAAAGGCUCAAAGGAUCUCCCUGACAGUUGGCUUUAGAUGUCUCUAGCAGCUCUGUAGGAAUAUCUGUUAAUCAGAAGCUACAUGAUACACACACAGGAACAAGCAGUUGUAUCAGGACAGACACAAGAGAGGGAGAAAAAGUCAAAAUCACACAGCCCUCCGAAGGAGUUCAGACCCUCAACCUCCCCAGAUUUCAACUGCUCCAGGAGAAGCUCACACUGUCAUUUCCCAAAAAUUCUGGAAUCUUCUGGCUUUGAUCUAAAAAUGAAAGAAAGGAAAGAAAGAAAGGAAGGAAGGAAGGAAGGAAGGAGAAAAAGAAAGAAAGAAAGAAAGAAAGAAAGAAAAAAAGAGAAAGAAAGAAAGGAAAGAAAUGAAGCUGAGCGGCUGGAAGUGAUUCUGGGUCUGUUUUGCAUGGGAAGAUCUCAGCCUCCUGCACAAGGCUGUCCUGACAUAUAAAUGCAUCUCAAUCCUCAUCUGUCUCAUUCUGGGCUCAGAGCUCUCUGCCUGCAGCUCUACAAAGGACACAAGGAUGUCCCCAUCCCAGCUCCUCUGCCUCCUGCUGCUCUGGGCUCAGGAGUAUAGGACAGCCAUUGUGAUGACCCAGACUCCAGCCUCCCUGUCUGUGGCUCUGGGAGAGAAAGUCACCAUCACCUGUAGGGCCAGUCAGGGCAUUAACAAUUACUUAACCUGGUACCAGCAGCCUCCAGGAAAACCUCCCAAACCUCUUAUUUAUUAUGCUGGUGACCUAGAAUCUGGAGUCCCUGCCCGCUUCAGUGGCAGUGGGUCUGGGAUAGAUUUUACUCUCACAAUCAGCAAUGUGGAGGCUGAAGAUGCUGCACAUUAUUACUGUCUGCAAGGUUAUGAUUCUCCCACAGUGAUGGAGGCCUGA
Non-coding RNA from Gracilinanus agilis (Agile Gracile Mouse Opossum), 1189 nucleotides. The record is from the annotation of a RefSeq genome assembly. NCBI's taxonomy places the organism in Eukaryota, Metazoa, Chordata, Mammalia, Didelphimorphia, Didelphidae.